This 525-nucleotide ribosomal RNA is filed under the name fungal endophyte. Its description in RNAcentral is "eukaryotic LSU rRNA". The stretch from base 155 to 308 matches the Rfam family "5.8S ribosomal RNA". The record is from RNAcentral. Lineage: Eukaryota; Fungi.
UGGGUUUUAGAGUAUUCCACCUCCCCACCCCUGUGACAUACCACUUGUUGCCUCGGCGGAUCAGCCCGCUCCCGGUAAAACGGGACGGCCCGCCAGAGGACCCCUAAACUCUGUUUCUAUAUGUAACUUCUGAGUAAAACCAUAAAUAAAUCAAAACUUUCAACAACGGAUCUCUUGGUUCUGGCAUCGAUGAAGAACGCAGCAAAAUGCGAUAAGUAAUGUGAAUUGCAGAAUUCAGUGAAUCAUCGAAUCUUUGAACGCACAUUGCGCCCGCCAGUAUUCUGGCGGGCAUGCCUGUUCGAGCGUCAUUUCAACCCUCAAGCACAGCUUGGUGUUGGGACUCGCGUUAAUUCGCGUUCCUCAAAUUGAUUGGCGGUCACGUCGAGCUUCCAUAGCGUAGUAGUAAAACCCUCGUUACUGGUAAUCGUCGCGGCCACGCCGUUAAACCCCAACUUCUGAAUGUUGACCUCGGAUCAGGUAGGAAUACCCGCUGAACUUAAGCAUAUCAAUAAGCGGAGGAAGGAU